Molecule: ribosomal RNA, 290 nt
Filed under: Aeromonas caviae
Lineage: Bacteria; Pseudomonadati; Pseudomonadota; Gammaproteobacteria; Aeromonadales; Aeromonadaceae
Description: partial 23S ribosomal RNA
Rfam family: Bacterial large subunit ribosomal RNA
Source: RNAcentral
GUUGUAUGGUUAAGUGACUAAGCGUACAUGGUGGAUGCCUUGGCAGUCAGAGGCGAUGAAGGACGUACUAACCUGCGAUAAGCCGUGAGCAGUCGGUAAGAGACAUUACGACUCACGGAUUUCCGAAUGGGGAAACCCACUUAGCAUAAGCUAGGUAUCGCUACGUGAAUACAUAGCGUAGCGAGGCGAACCGGGAGAACUGAAACAUCUAAGUACCCCGAGGAAAAGAAAUCAACCGAGAUUCCCUCAGUAGCGGCGAGCGAACGGGGAUUAGCCCUUAAGCAUCUUGG